Molecule: long non-coding RNA, 742 nt
Filed under: Trifolium pratense (red clover)
Lineage: Eukaryota; Viridiplantae; Streptophyta; Magnoliopsida; Fabales; Fabaceae
Description: long non-coding RNA (TPRA_LNC009278)
Source: RNAcentral
GUUCUUCGCGAAGGUUGCUGGGGUUUGGUCGCGAAGGUGAUGAGAGGGUUUUUUCUUUAAGUCUUAAUAAUUGGGAGAGAGAUAUCAGAUACACAUGACUAUUACCUUGUUCCAAAAAUAUUAUUUUAUUUUUUUUAUUUAACCUGACGUUUUACAUCUGUGGCUAAAUAUGGCCAGAUAUAUACAUAUUUUAGAUAAUUUUCACCAUAAUUAUAAGAUUGCCACCGCGUUUAGUUAUGCUUCUGGUACGUUUAAGCCAGAUGUAAAAAGUCUUGUCUAUUUAUUUUUCAUAUCUGUGGACAUUGAAGCCAGAUGAAAAGACUACUCCAUAUAGCGUUUUACAUCUGACAUAUGCUCGUCAGAUGUAAACAUGAUGUGUAAUAUGUCAUAUUUGUAGUAGUGAAUUAAGCAAUAAGCAGGUGAAGUGAAGGUUUCCAUUCCAAUGGCUCAACGUUGUUGCAACUUUUACAUUUCAAUUCCAAGGCGGCUGAAUGCCCUUCCAAUUCUAAAACCUCCUCCUCCUCCCUCUCAGACAUUCUAUCAAACACUUUCAAUACACUCUCAUUCAAACAAUCACUAUCCUCCUCCUCCUUAUCCUUUCCACUUCAACUUUGAUUUCAAUCACCCAACUCUAUUGAAAUUCAUCCAAUUCCUCAAAAACAACAACGACAAAAACGAUGAUGAUGAUGUUCAUUUCCUUUCAUCACUGGAAGAACCAAAUGCAGAUUUAAUAUGUUCCGCA